GGCCUCGUGGUGGAAUGGUAGACACAAAGGACUUAAAAUCCUUGCCCUAUGGGAGUGCCGGUUCGAGUCCGGCCGAGGCUACCA
This 84-nucleotide transfer RNA is filed under the name Alphaproteobacteria bacterium. RNAcentral's name for it is "tRNA-Leu". It matches the Rfam family "tRNA". Rfam says of the family: Transfer RNA (tRNA) molecules are approximately 80 nucleotides in length. The record is from RNAcentral. Lineage: Bacteria; Pseudomonadati; Pseudomonadota; Alphaproteobacteria.